ACAAAGAAAAAAAAUUUGUUGAAUAUGAUCCGGAAUAUCCAGUGAAGUAUGCGAUCUUCAUUACAGAAGAAGAAUGGGUUGCUUUUGUAGACCAAAGAAGAGACGAAAAUUUCAAGAAAGUGAGUGCCACAAAUCGCGAGAGAGCGUCAAAUCCCACGUAUGCAUACAAAAAAGGGCGUUUGGGAUAUGCACGCUUAGAGGAAAAAAUUUUAGACGAGACGAAAAGUGACGCAACAUCACUUCCGCCACAUGUUUUGUGGAAAGAAGCUCGUGUGGGAAAGGAUGGAACUGUUAGGGAUGACGUUCAACAUAUUUAUGAUGAAUGUGAGACCCUAUCUCAAUCGAUAAGCACAGCUGAGGACCAGGAGAACAGGAGCGUACUUAGUAGAGC
Molecule: long non-coding RNA, 391 nt
Organism: Lathyrus oleraceus (garden pea)
Lineage: Eukaryota; Viridiplantae; Streptophyta; Magnoliopsida; Fabales; Fabaceae
Exons: 3
Source: RefSeq, a predicted model, not a curated record